RNAcentral lists this transfer RNA (69 nucleotides) under Cavia porcellus (domestic guinea pig). It matches the Rfam family "tRNA". From Rfam's summary of the family: Transfer RNA (tRNA) molecules are approximately 80 nucleotides in length. The record is from Rfam by way of RNAcentral. Lineage: Eukaryota; Metazoa; Chordata; Mammalia; Rodentia; Caviidae.
GGGAUAUAGCUGCAUGGUACAGCCCCUGCCUGGCAAGCACGAGGUCCUAAGUUCGAUUCCCAGUACCCA